GAUGAACGCUGGCGGCGUGCUUAACACAUGCAAGUCGAACGGAAAGGCCCAAGCUUGCUUGGGUACUCGAGUGGCGAACGGGUGAGUAACACGCGGGUGAUCUGCCCUGCACUUCGGGAUAAGCCUGGGAAACUGGGUCUAAUACCGGAUAGGACCACAUUUUGGAUGGUGUGGUGGAAAGUUUUUCGGUGUGGGAUGAGCUCGCGGCCUAUCAGCUUGUUGGUGGGGUAAUGGCCUACCAAGGCGUCGACGGGUAGCCGGCCUGAGAGGGUGUACGGCCACAUUGGGACUGAGAUACGGCCCAGACUCCUACGGGAGGCAGCAGUGGGGAAUAUUGCACAAUGGGCGCAAGCCUGAUGCAGCGACGCCGCGUGGGGGAUGACGGCCUUCGGGUUGUAAACUCCUUUCGCUAGGGACGAAGCGUUAUGUGACGGUACCUGGAGAAGAAGCACCGGCUAACUACGUG
RNAcentral lists this ribosomal RNA (466 nucleotides) under uncultured bacterium. RNAcentral's name for it is "partial 16S ribosomal RNA". It matches the Rfam family "Bacterial small subunit ribosomal RNA", at positions 28 to 507 of the family's 1533-position model. The record is from RNAcentral.